Molecule: ribosomal RNA, 246 nt
Filed under: uncultured bacterium
Lineage: Bacteria
Description: partial small subunit ribosomal RNA
Rfam family: Bacterial small subunit ribosomal RNA
Source: RNAcentral
AGAAUCAACGCUGGCGGCGUGCCUAACACAUGCAAGUCGAACGAGAAAGUGGAGCAAUCCAUGAGUAAAGUGGCGACCGGGUGAGUAACACGUGACUAACCUACCUUUCAGUGGGGAAUAACCUCGGGAAACCGGGGCUAAUACCGCAUAAUGUCUACGGACCAAAGGAGCAAUUCGCUGGAAGAGGGGGUCGCGGCCGAUUAGCUAGUUGGCGGGGUAACGGCCCACCAAGGCAAUGAUCGGUAG